UUACUUCAAACUAGCGACAUAUACAAUUCCUCAGGUAUCCAAUUCUACGAUCAAUCUUAUAAAUGGUUAAAAAACAUGUAUAUGACUGUAGAAUUGUGGCGUGAGAAAUAAAGCACAGGGCAAAGGUUUUACAAGUUUAUUUGGUCUUUCACUGAGUUUGCCAAGCAGCUACUGGACAUGAGUAACAGAUCUCUAGUGUGGUAAGUGAACUAUACCUUGAGAGACAAUGCUCUCACCAUGCACUGAUAAAAACAUUUACUGACUCAUCAUACGAAAAUAAAAUGUAACUUCCCAAGCUUUUAAGGGUCAACACAAAGACAAAUUCAUUUACAAUACCGAUGUAUAAAUUUAUAAAACCAUUAACAUUAUUUUACAAAAUUCUAAAAAAUCUGCAUCAAGUGAAAUAUCCUUUUUUUUUGUGAAAACAAAAUUUAAUAUUUACAGCUUUUUUAACAUGUUGAUGUUGAUCCAGUUAACUAUUCGGAAACUGCGACAAAACUACUAACGGAACGUUGAGCACACCACACGCACUGGCACACAAACGUACAAAUCAGGACUGAUCCAAAUACACAUAAUUAUAUAUUACCAUAAGAAUAAAUGGAAAAGAAACCCAAACAUUGUUAACCUACGACAGUAAGUCCUAGACGAGCUUACACUGUUUGUCAUCCCCUCAGCGCUACGAGUAACCCGACGAACAAAGACAACCAAAGCCUCACACACACUACAGUCUUUCCAAACAAUAGCGAGAAAAUUAUGGCAUUAGUCUAGCCUUAGCCGCUAAAUAAGUCAAUUAAAGAACUAAUUUCAAUUUAUAUAAUAGGACACAGGCAUUGUAACAUAUAGAAAUUAAAAGCUAAAGACAAAUUUACGUGAUAUAAGCAAUUAAUGCACAUAUUUAAUUAAGUAUGACAUUGAUUAAUAUAUAGUAACAAAAAUUUAUACAUACAUUAAAAAUGCACCAAUACUAAAUAGAUAAUAAUUAAACUAGCUCUGUUUGGAAGAUUUUCUCCAUAAACACAUUUUAAAAUAAAAUUUAGCCUUCCAUUCAGUACUGAACAAGAAUUGUGCUAGGUUUUAAAUAACAUGAGAACGAGAGCUUACCGACAUAAAAAACUGCAGAGGAAUAUCAGAAAACAGAACCAAAUUGAGACGUUUUACAAUUUGUUUAUAAGUUUCACCCUUAAUUAAUCAGAUAUUUACACUAAAAGUGCAAGUGUUUUGAACAGAACUCUCGUUGGCGAGGAAGACAUAAAGGAUACACAAGUGGGAACUUGUACAGGAAAUUCCUAGCGUUAAAUCUAUACGUACAGUAAAAUUUACAUUUACUGGUAUGCGUUGUCGUUAUUUACACAAAAAUCAUAUUACCCCCACAACAAGGUGUAACAACUAAACUGAACACACCCAGAUACUGGAUAACCUCAAGAGAGUUACUGGUAAAAACACAUACAAAAUAUAUGUAAAGAAUGUUAACAAAGCUGUUAACGAUAGAGCUGCGAUUAAACGUCAUAAUUAGUUACCCCUAGCGUUACACAAUAACGCUACAGAGUUGUAAUCGCUGAAUCAAUGUGAGUUAUCAAUACUACUACUGAGCAAAUAAACAGUCAAUAGAGAGUUACUAUUUACGGCAUUACCUCAUAACUAUUAAUUGAUAAAGUACACUUUUUAUUGUAGACUCAGGGCAGGAGGUAAGAUAAGUGAUUGAUCAUCACACAUAAUCCGUAAACUUACCGAGGGAGCUUUCCUGAACAGGAUCAAAUUCGACACUUCAAGAGAGUAGGUUUCCAUUAACAUUAAAAAUACCACACUCACUUAUACGUUGUUAUCUAUUUAAUUCAUUUUCAUUGAUCACCUGAUAUAGUCUAAAAAAGAAAGUAACUUAGAUUUGAAAUUUUUUUCACAACAGAAACAUUCUGAGUAGCAAAUCCAACACACAGACAGACAACUAGUUCUGUAAGGUACUGAAAAGAGAAAUUCCAAGAAUUAGUUGCCGUUACUAUUUAUCGUAUGUAAAAUUCUAACUAAAAAUGUAUACCAAUCAAUUCGAGCUGAAUACGGCUCUUUUUAGUGAUUUACUUUGUUGAGUUUAAAUGUUGAAAGUUUGAAAGAAUGAAUAAUUUAUAAUGUUGACCUCCUUAAUGUCAUAAGAGCUAUGGGAAGUUUGUGAUUUAUACAACUUCCCACACUAUUAAAAUAAAUUCUGAGGAGGAUUCUAGUCUGGAAAUGUGGUCAGAAAUUAUUCUCCUCAGAGCAGACAAGAGAAGAAUUAUCAUUUACCACUAGCACUAGGCAUAACUUAUUACAGUAUUUUAUAGGUUAACUGUUUUAGCAUAAGUUAAAAACACAUUAUCUUUUCCCAACAACAAAUGUGUUUCCUAAAUCACACCAGUAAAUCUCUAAAAGAUCGAGUAUCCGAUAGCACAAAAUUCGUGAACUCAGGUUCACUACAAAGAUCAUUGUGGGUUGACGAGAAGAAAUAUCGUGGAUUUGAUCUAAAAUAAGAAAAGAAUCCUUAUUGUAUGUGUUAUUUCGUUGUAAUCAUGGAUUAAUUAGGAGGAAGGAAUUCCACUCAGGUACUCAAUUUUACUUCUUUUGUUGUUUUUUAAGUAAGUGACAGAUUUGUUGUCAAAGACAAGAUUUUACUUCCUUCAGUUAGAGUAAUAUUAAAAGGUUAUCAAAAUUUAGCAAUAGAAAUUAUACAAGUGAUGCACAAAUUAUUCUUAUAUUGUCUUUAUUUCUGAUUAUCUCUUCUUAAGUCUAGCACAAUUUUUGUACAAUAAAGAUUGGACACUUAUUUCAUCUUAAUAUUACUCGCUAAGAAAACCCACAUGAAAAUUUGAUUCAAGUGAAAGCAUUGCCAUAUUAAAAAUUACCUAGAAUUUAAUUAUGCAUUUUAAUUCAACAGAUUUUGCGGAUGUAUUUUCACUAUGAUUCAUCUAUUAUGCAUGUACUUUGAUUAUUGUAUAAUUUCUGGGUCUCUGUUGAAAAUUGAGUUAAUUGUCUGACUAAUUUAUUUAGCAAUUAAAAAAAAGAUAAUAUUUUUCUUGGUGUCAUUUGGGAAGGGUGCAGUACAAUGUGUGUGAGGCAUUCUGCAUUUUGUUUUAACUCUUGUGAACUUCCUACACUCUCGUCUGCUCUGAGGAAGUAGUGAAUUAUUAGCAGUGAGACUAAUUGGUUUCCCUUCAAUUCGUCUUAUUCGUAGCCUCUAAUUAAUUACUCAUCA
Molecule: long non-coding RNA, 3220 nt
Organism: Homalodisca vitripennis (glassy-winged sharpshooter)
Lineage: Eukaryota; Metazoa; Arthropoda; Insecta; Hemiptera; Cicadellidae
Exons: 2
Source: RefSeq, a predicted model, not a curated record